UUAAGCGACUAAGCGUACACGGUGGAUGCCCUGGCAGUCAGAGGCGAUGAAGGACGUGCUAAUCUGCGAAAAGCGUCGGUAAGGUGAUAUGAACCGUUAUAACCGGCGAUGUCCGAAUGGGGAAACCCAGUGCAAUUUGUUGCACUAUCGUUAACUGAAUACAUAGGUUAACGAGGCGAACCGGGGGAACUGAAACAUCUAAGUACCCCGAGGAAAAGAAAUCAACCGAGAUUCCCCCAGUAGCGGCGAGCGAACGGGGAGCAGCCCAGAGUCUGAAUCAGCUUGUGUGUUAGUGGAACGGUCUGGAAAGUCCGACGGUACAGGGUGAUAGUCCCGUACACCAAAAUGCACAGGUUGUGAACUCGAAGAGUAGGGCGGGACACGUGGUAUCCUGUCUGAAUAUGGGGGGACCAUCCUCCAAGGCUAAAUACUCCUGACUGACCGAUAGUGAACCAGUACCGUGAGGGAAAGGCGAAAAGAACCCCGGCGAGGGGAGUGAAAAAGAACCUGAAACCGUGUACGUACAAGCAGUGGGAGCACCUUCGGGUGUGACUGCGUACCUUUUGUAUAAUGGGUCAGCGACUUAUAUUCUGUAGCAAGGUUAACCGUAUAGGGGAGCCGCAGGGAAACCGAGUCUUAACUGGGCGUUAAGUUGCAGGGUAUAGACCCGAAACCCGGUGAUCUAGCCAUGGGCAGGUUGAAGGUUGGGUAACACUAACUGGAGGACCGAACCGACUAAUGUUGAAAAAUUAGCGGAUGACUUGUGGCUGGGGGUGAAAGGCCAAUCAAACCGGGAGAUAGCUGGUUCUCCCCGAAAGCUAUUUAGGUAGCGCCUCGUGAACUCAUCUUCGGGGGUAGAGCACUGUUUCGGCUAGGGGGUCAUCCCGACUUACCAACCCGAUGCAAACUACGAAUACCGAAGAAUGUUAUCACGGGAGACACACGGCGGGUGCUAACGUCCGUCGUGAAGAGGGAAACAACCCAGACCGCCAGCUAAGGUCCCAAAGUCAUGGUUAAGUGGGAAACGAUGUGGGAAGGCACAGACAGCCAGGAUGUUGGCUUAGAAGCAGCCAUCAUUUAAAGAAAGCGUAAUAGCUCACUGGUCGAGUCGGCCUGCGCGGAAGAUGUAACGGGGCUAAACCAUGCACCGAAGCUGCGGCAGCGACACUAUGUGUUGUUGGGUAGGGGAGCGUUCUGUAAGCCUGCGAAGGUGACCUGUGAGGGUUGCUGGAGGUAUCAGAAGUGCGAAUGCUGACAUAAGUAACGAUAAAGCGGGUGAAAAGCCCGCUCGCCGGAAGACCAAGGGUUCCUGUCCAACGUUAAUCGGGGCAGGGUGAGUCGACCCCUAAGGCGAGGCCGAAAGGCGUAGUCGAUGGGAAACAGGUUAAUAUUCCUGUACUUGGUGUUACUGCGAAGGGGGGACGGAGAAGGCUAUGUUAGCCGGGCGACGGUUGUCCCGGUUUAAGCAUGUAGGCUGGUUGUCCAGGCAAAUCCGGAUAAUCAAGGCUGAGGUGUGAUGACGAGGCACUACGGUGCUGAAGUAACAAAUGCCCUGCUUCCAGGAAAAGCCUCUAAGCAUCAGGUAACAUCAAAUCGUACCCCAAACCGACACAGGUGGUCAGGUAGAGAAUACCAAGGCGCUUGAGAGAACUCGGGUGAAGGAACUAGGCAAAAUGGUGCCGUAACUUCGGGAGAAGGCACGCUGGUGUGUAGGUGAAGUCCCUGCGGAUGGAGCUGAGACCAGUCGAAGAUACCAGCUGGCUGCAACUGUUUAUUAAAAACACAGCACUGUGCAAACACGAAAGUGGACGUAUACGGUGUGACGCCUGCCCGGUGCCGGAAGGUUAAUUGAUGGGGUUAUCCGUAAGGAGAAGCUCUUGAUCGAAGCCCCGGUAAACGGCGGCCGUAACUAUAACGGUCCUAAGGUAGCGAAAUUCCUUGUCGGGUAAGUUCCGACCUGCACGAAUGGCGUAAUGAUGGCCAGGCUGUCUCCACCCGAGACUCAGUGAAAUUGAACUCGCUGUGAAGAUGCAGUGUACCCGCGGCAAGACGGAAAGACCCCGUGAACCUUUACUAUAGCUUGACACUGAACAUUGAGCCUUGAUGUGUAGGAUAGGUGGGAGGCUUUGAAGCGUGGACGCCAGUCUGCGUGGAGCCAACCUUGAAAUACCACCCUUUAAUGUUUGAUGUUCUAACGUUGGCCCCUGACCGGGGUUGCGGACAGUGUCUGGUGGGUAGUUUGACUGGGGCGGUCUCCUCCCAAAGCGUAACGGAGGAGCACGAAGGUUAGCUAAUCCUGGUCGGACAUCAGGAGGUUAGUGCAAUGGCAUAAGCUAGCUUGACUGCGAGCGUGACGGCGCGAGCAGGUGCGAAAGCAGGUCAUAGUGAUCCGGUGGUUCUGAAUGGAAGGGCCAUCGCUCAACGGAUAAAAGGUACUCCGGGGAUAACAGGCUGAUACCGCCCAAGAGUUCAUAUCGACGGCGGUGUUUGGCACCUCGAUGUCGGCUCAUCACAUCCUGGGGCUGAAGUAGGUCCCAAGGGUAUGGCUGUUCGCCAUUUAAAGUGGUACGCGAGCUGGGUUUAGAACGUCGUGAGACAGUUCGGUCCCUAUCUGCCGUGGGCGCUGGAGAAUUGAGGGGGGCUGCUCCUAGUACGAGAGGACCGGAGUGGACGCAUCACUGGUGUUCGGGUUGUCAUGCCAAUGGCACUGCCCGGUAGCUAAAUGCGGAAGAGAUAAGUGCUGAAAGCAUCUAAGCACGAAACUUGCCCCGAGAUGAGUUCUCCCUGAGACUUUAAGUCUCCUGAAGGAACGUUGAAGACGACGACGUUGAUAGGCCGGGUGUGUAAGCGCAGCGAUGCGUUGAGCUAACCGGUACUAAUGAACCGUGAGGCUUAACCUU
This 2900-nucleotide ribosomal RNA is filed under the name Klebsiella pneumoniae. RNAcentral describes it as "bacterial LSU rRNA". It matches the Rfam family "Bacterial large subunit ribosomal RNA". Lineage: Bacteria; Pseudomonadati; Pseudomonadota; Gammaproteobacteria; Enterobacterales; Enterobacteriaceae. The record is from RNAcentral.